CAGAGACUGCAAGCGUUAUUCGGAUUCACUGGGCGUAAAGGGUGCGCAGGCGGCCAAGUGUGUGAGGCGUGAAAGCCCGAAGCUUAACUUCGGAAUUGCACCUCAAACUACAUGGCUAGAGCAUUGGAGAGGGUAGCGGAAUUCACGGUGUAGCAGUGAAAUGCGUAGAUAUCGUGAGGAACACCAGAGGCGAAGGCGGCUACCUGGACAAUUGCUGACGCUCAGGCACGAAAGCGUGGGGAGCAAAAGGGAUUAGAUACCCCUGUAGUCCACGCCCUAAACGGUGCACACUAGGUCUUGGCGGAUUCGACCCCCCAGGGCCCAAGCUAACGCGUUAAGUGUGCCGCCUGAGGACUACGGCCGCAAGGCUA
RNAcentral lists this ribosomal RNA (371 nucleotides) under uncultured organism. RNAcentral's name for it is "bacterial SSU rRNA". It matches the Rfam family "Bacterial small subunit ribosomal RNA", at positions 526 to 896 of the family's 1533-position model. The record is from RNAcentral.